CUACUGGGGUUUCUAAUCCUGUUCGCUCCCCAUGCUUUCGCUCCUCAGCGUCAGUAACAGCCCAGAGACCUGCCUUCGCCAUCGGUGUUCCUCCUGAUAUCUGCGCAUUUCACCGCUACACCAGGAAUUCCAGUCUCCCCUACUGCACUCUAGUCUGCCCGUACCCACUGCAGACCCGGGGUUGAGCCCCGGGCUUUCACAGCAGACGCGACAAACCGCCUACGAGCUCUUUACGCCCAAUAAUUCCGGACAACGCUUGCGCCCUACGUAUUACCGCGGCUGCUGGCAC
Molecule: ribosomal RNA, 289 nt
Filed under: uncultured Micrococcaceae bacterium
Lineage: Bacteria; Bacillati; Actinomycetota; Actinomycetes; Micrococcales; Micrococcaceae
Description: partial 16S ribosomal RNA
Source: RNAcentral